Molecule: ribosomal RNA, 478 nt
Filed under: uncultured bacterium
Lineage: Bacteria
Description: partial 16S ribosomal RNA
Rfam family: Bacterial small subunit ribosomal RNA
Source: RNAcentral
GACGAACGCUGGCGGCGUGCUUAACACAUGCAAGUCGAACGGUAAGGCCCUUCGGGGUACACGAGUGGCGAACGGGUGAGUAACACGUGGGUGAUCUGCCCUGCACUUUGGGAUAAGCCUGGGAAACUGGGUCUAAUACCGGAUAGGACCAUGGACUUCACGGUUUGGGGUGGAAAGCUUUUGCAGUGUGGGAUGGGCCCGCGGCCUAUCAGCUUGUUGGUGGGGUAAUGGCCUACCAAGGCGACGACGGGUAGCCGGCCUGAGAGGGUGUCCGGCCACACUGGGACUGAGAUACGGCCCAGACUCCUACGGGAGGCAGCAGUGGGGAAUAUUGCACAAUGGGCGCAAGCCUGAUGCAGCGACGCCGCGUGGGGGAUGACGGCCUUCGGGUUGUAAACCUCUUUCAGUAGGGACGAAGCGCAAGUGACGGUACCUACAGAAGAAGCACCGGCCAACUACGUGCCAGCCGCCGCAGUAA